RNAcentral lists this ribosomal RNA (418 nucleotides) under uncultured bacterium. Its description in RNAcentral is "partial 16S ribosomal RNA". It matches the Rfam family "Bacterial small subunit ribosomal RNA", at positions 355 to 767 of the family's 1533-position model. The record is from RNAcentral.
UGGGGAAUAUUGCACAAUGGGCGCAAGCCUGAUGCAGCCAUGCCGCGUGUGUGAAGAAGCCUUCGGUUGUAAAGCACUUUCNGCGAGGAGGAAGGUGGUGAACUUAAUACGUUCAUCAAUUGACGUUACUCGCAGAAGAAGCACCGGCUAACUCCGUGCCAGCAGCCGCGGUAAUACGGGGGAGUGCAAGCGUUAAUCGGAAUUACUGGGCGUAAAGCGCACGCAGGCGGUUUGUUAAGUCAGAUGUGAAAUCCCCGGGCUCAACCUGGGAACUGCAUUGAAACUGGCAAGCUAGAGUCUCGUAGAGGGGGGUAGAAUUCCGGGUGUAGCGGUGAAAUGCGUAGAGAUCUGGAGGAAUACCGGUGGCGAAGGCGGCCCCCUGGACGAAGACUGACGCUCAGGUGCGAAAGCGUGGGGA